AUACGGAGGGUGCAAGCGUUGUCCGGAUUUAUUGGGUUUAAAGGGUGUGUAGGCGGUGUAUUAAGUCAGUGGUGAAAGCCUGCGGCUCAACCGUAGAACUGCCAUUGAUACUGACACACUUGAGUUUGGUUGAGGUAGGCGGAAUUUAUGGUGUAGCGGUGAAAUGCAUAGAUACCAUAAAGAACACCGAUAGCGAAGGCAGCUUACUAAGCCGAAACUGACGCUGAGGCACGAAAGCGAGGGGAGCGAACAGGAUUAGAAACCCGGGUAGUCC
RNAcentral lists this ribosomal RNA (274 nucleotides) under uncultured bacterium. RNAcentral describes it as "partial 16S ribosomal RNA". It matches the Rfam family "Bacterial small subunit ribosomal RNA", at positions 523 to 796 of the family's 1533-position model. The record is from RNAcentral.